ACCUUACCAACUCUUGACAUCCCCCUGACCGGUACAGAGAUGUACCUUCCCCUUCGGGGGCAGGGGUGACAGGUGGUGCAUGGUUGUCGUCAGCUCGUGUCGUGAGAUGUUGGGUUAAGUCCCGCAACGAGCGCAACCCUUGUCCUUAGUUGCCAGCAUUUGGUUGGGCACUCUAGGGAGACUGCCGGUGACAAACCGGAGGAAGGUGGGGAUGACGUCAAAUCAUCAUGCCCCUUAUGAGUUGGGCUACACACGUGCUACAAUGGACGGUACAAAGGGCAGCGAAGCCGCGAGGUGGAGCCAAUCCCAGAAAGCCGUUCUCAGUUCGGAUUGCAGGCUGCAACUCGCCUGCAUGAAGUCGGAAUCGCUAGUAAUCGCAGGUCAGCAUACUGCGGUGAAUACGUUCCCGGGUCUUGUACACACCGCCCGUCACACCACGAGAGUUUGCAACACCCGAAGUCGGUGAGGUAACCGUAAGGAGCCAGCCGCCGAAGGUGGGGCAGAUGAUUGGGGUGAAGUCGUAACAAGGUAGCCGUAUCGGAAGGUGCGGCUGGAUCACCUCCUUUCUAAGGA
This 573-nucleotide ribosomal RNA is filed under the name Pseudomonas veronii. Its description in RNAcentral is "bacterial SSU rRNA". It matches the Rfam family "Bacterial small subunit ribosomal RNA", at positions 968 to 1533 of the family's 1533-position model. The record is from RNAcentral. Lineage: Bacteria; Pseudomonadati; Pseudomonadota; Gammaproteobacteria; Pseudomonadales; Pseudomonadaceae.